Long non-coding RNA from Aquila chrysaetos chrysaetos, 255 nucleotides. RefSeq lists it as uncharacterized. The transcript is spliced from 2 exons. The record is from RefSeq and is a predicted model, not a curated record. NCBI's taxonomy places the organism in Eukaryota, Metazoa, Chordata, Aves, Accipitriformes, Accipitridae.
CCUGCUCUGUGUCUCCAAGAUGUGCCCAAGCACCCCAGCCUUGGCUUCUGCAGAUCAAAUGAAGAUGUUAAAGGAGAGCAGACCUGGCACAGAUCUAACCACUAACCACUAACAACAAUACAAGUACCUUGCACUUAAAUUAUGCACUUUCCAUCAGAAGAUUUCAAGGGCCUUUGCUGAACUGGAUAAGUAUAAUUAUUAAAGCUGGGAACUCCACUACAGUGGGGAAUUAAAUAUUUGAGGUCCGUCUGAGGA